GGCCAGACUCCUAACGGGAGGCAGCAGUGGGGAAUAUUGCACAAUGGGGGAAACCCUGAUGCAGCGACGCCGCGUGAGCGAUGAAGUAUUUCGGUAUGUAAAUCUCUAUCAGCAGGGAAGAAGAUGACGGUACCUGACUAAGAAGCCCCGGCUAACUACGUGCCAGCAGCCGCGGUAAUACGUAGGGGGCAAGCGUUAUCCGGAUUUACUGGGUGUAAAGGGAGCGUAGACGGCGAUGCAAGCCAGAUGUGAAAGCCCGGGGCUCAACCCCGGGACUGCAUUUGGAACUGUGUGGCUGGAGUGUCGGAGAGGCAGGCGGAAUUCCUAGUGUAGCGGUGAAAUGCGUAGAUAUUAGGAGGAACACCAGUGGCGAAGGCGGCCUGCUGGGCUUUUACUGACGCUGAGGCUCGAAAGUGUGGGGAGCAAACAGGAUUAGAUACCCCGGUAC
This 448-nucleotide ribosomal RNA is filed under the name uncultured bacterium. RNAcentral describes it as "bacterial SSU rRNA". It matches the Rfam family "Bacterial small subunit ribosomal RNA", at positions 329 to 793 of the family's 1533-position model. The record is from RNAcentral.